GUGCUUGCUUUGGCAGUGUAUAUACUAAAAUUGUAAUGAUACAGAGAGAUUAGCAUGGCCCCUGCGCAAGGAUGACACGCAAAUUUGUGAAGUACUUAAUUAAAAG
RNAcentral lists this small nuclear RNA (106 nucleotides) under Canis lupus dingo (dingo). Lineage: Eukaryota; Metazoa; Chordata; Mammalia; Carnivora; Canidae. The record is from RNAcentral.